This 415-nucleotide ribosomal RNA is filed under the name uncultured marine eukaryote. RNAcentral's name for it is "SSU rRNA". It matches the Rfam family "Eukaryotic small subunit ribosomal RNA", at positions 612 to 1029 of the family's 1831-position model. The record is from RNAcentral.
GUUGCGGUUAAAAAGCUCGUAGUUGGAGUUCUGCCAGGUGCCGCCUGUCCGCCCCAGUGGUGAGUACGUGGCGCGCAUUUGGCCCUUUCAAGGGGAGCGUAUCUGCACUUUACAGUGUGGUGCGGGAUCCUUGACUUUUACUUUGAGGAAAUAGGAGUGUUCCAAGCAGGCUCUCGUCGUGCACAGCUCAGCAUGGAAUAAUAGCAUUGGACCUCGAUUCUAAGCUGUUGGUUGCCAGAAGCGAGGUAAUGAUGAAGAGGGAUAGUUGGGGGCAUUCGUAUUUAACUGUCAGAGGUGAAAUUCUUGGAUUUGUUAAAGACGGACUUCUGCGAAAGCAUCUGCCAUGGAUGUUUUUCAUUGAUCAAGAACGAAAGUUGGGGGAUCGAAGACGAUCAGAUUACCGUCCUAUUCUUAA